Molecule: ribosomal RNA, 418 nt
Filed under: uncultured bacterium
Lineage: Bacteria
Description: bacterial SSU rRNA
Rfam family: Bacterial small subunit ribosomal RNA
Source: RNAcentral
CCUGGCUCAGAACGAACGUUAGCGGCGCGCCUAACACAUGCAAGUCGAGCGAGAAAGGGCUUCGGCCCCGGUAAAGCGGCGCACGGGUGAGUAACACGUAGGCAAUCUGCCUCGAGGUGGUGGAUAACCCUCCGAAAGGAGGGCUAAUACAGCAUGAGACCACGUCGUCGAAAGACGAUGCGGCCAAAGCCGGCCUCUUCAUGAAAGCUGGCGCCACGAGAUGAGCCUGCGGCCCAUCAGCUAGUUGGUAGGGUAACGGCCUACCAAGGCAAAGACGGGUAGCUGGUCUGAGAGGAUGAUCAGCCACACUGGAACUGAGACACGGUCCAGACUCCUACGGGAGGCAGCAGUGGGGAAGUCUUGCGCGGGGGAAUGGGCGAAAGCCUGACGCAGCGACGCCGCGUGAGCGAUGAAGGCC